This is a non-coding RNA of Acanthosepion pharaonis, 109 nucleotides long. Lineage: Eukaryota; Metazoa; Mollusca; Cephalopoda; Sepiida; Sepiidae. The record is from the annotation of a GenBank genome assembly.
AGCCAUAUCACAUUGAGACUUCAGUUCCUGUACAAUCACUGAAGUUAAGCAACACUGAGCCUGGUCAGUACCUAGAUAAGUGACUGCUUGGGAAUAUCAGGUGUUGUAA